RNAcentral lists this transfer RNA (68 nucleotides) under Endorchis piraeeba. Its description in RNAcentral is "tRNA-His". RNAcentral also lists the same sequence under 7 other names. Lineage: Eukaryota; Metazoa; Platyhelminthes; Cestoda; Proteocephalidea; Monticelliidae. The record is from RNAcentral.
UUACUGGUAGGUUAAAAUUUUAAACUGACAAAUUGUGGUUUUGUAGAAUACUUUGUUGUAUCAGUAAA